GGAGAGGUCGCCUAGAGGCCGAGGGCGACGGUUUGCUAAACCGUUAAGGGGUUAACACCCCUUCGAGGGUUCGAAUCCCUCCCUCUCCGCCA
Molecule: transfer RNA, 92 nt
Filed under: Bacillota bacterium
Lineage: Bacteria; Bacillati; Bacillota
Also listed under: 1 other name
Description: tRNA-Ser
Rfam family: tRNA
About the family: Transfer RNA (tRNA) molecules are approximately 80 nucleotides in length. Their secondary structure includes four short double-helical elements and three loops (D, anti-codon, and T loops).
Source: RNAcentral